Long non-coding RNA from Cyanistes caeruleus (blue tit), 207 nucleotides. RefSeq lists it as uncharacterized. The record is from RefSeq and is a predicted model, not a curated record. Lineage: Eukaryota; Metazoa; Chordata; Aves; Passeriformes; Paridae.
UUUUUCUUCAGCGCCUGAACUCACGGUGAACUGUCUGUUCUAAUAGGCUUCAUCUUCAUUACAGGAUAAUAUAAUGUUGUAUUCUGCAGUCACAGAACCACUGUUUCCCUUUGGCAGUCUGGAAAUGAAGGUCAUUUCACAAGGCAGCCCAGGAGUGUCUGGCAGAAAUGUUCUGGAAACCUCUGAAGGGAUGAAGAAGGAAAAAAG